CUCUCGAAAUCGGUAGACGCUACGGACUUAAUUGGAUUGAGCCUUGGUAUGGAAAAUCCGUCGACUUUAGAAAUCGUGAGC
RNAcentral lists this transfer RNA (81 nucleotides) under Oxalis sp. AOKI2016. RNAcentral's name for it is "partial tRNA-Leu". Lineage: Eukaryota; Viridiplantae; Streptophyta; Magnoliopsida; Oxalidales; Oxalidaceae. The record is from RNAcentral.